GACGAACGCUGGCGGCGUGCUUAACACAUGCAAGUCGAACGAUGAAGCCUAGCUUGCUAGGUGGAUUAGUGGCGAACGGGUGAGUAAUACGUGAGUAACCUACCUUUAACUCUGGGAUAAGCCUGGGAAACUGGGUCUAAUACCGGAUACGACCAAUCUCCGCAUGGGGUGUUGGUGGAAAGCGUUAUGUAGUGGUUAUAGAUGGGCUCACGGCCCAUCAGCUUGUUGGUGAGGUAACGGCUCACCAAGGCGACGACGGGUAGCCGGCCUGAGAGGGUGACCGGCCACACUGGGACUGAGACACGGCCCAGACUCCUACGGGAGGCAGCAGUGGGGAAUAUUGCACAAUGGGCGCAAGCCUGAUGCAGCGACGCCGCGUGAGGGAUGACGGCCUUCGGGUUGUAAACCUCUGUUGGCAGGGAAGAAGAGAGAUUGACGGUACCUGCAGAGAAAGCGCCGGCUAACUACGUG
This 471-nucleotide ribosomal RNA is filed under the name uncultured bacterium. RNAcentral's name for it is "partial 16S ribosomal RNA". It matches the Rfam family "Bacterial small subunit ribosomal RNA", at positions 28 to 507 of the family's 1533-position model. The record is from RNAcentral.